Molecule: ribosomal RNA, 482 nt
Filed under: uncultured bacterium
Lineage: Bacteria
Description: partial 16S ribosomal RNA
Rfam family: Bacterial small subunit ribosomal RNA
Source: RNAcentral
AUUGAACGCUGGCGGCAUGCCUUACACAUGCAAGUCGAACGGUAACGGGCCUUCGGGUGCCGACGAGUGGCGAACGGGUGAGUAAUACAUCGGAACGUGCCCGAUCGUGGGGGAUAACGAGGCGAAAGCUUUGCUAAUACCGCAUACGAUCUACGGAUGAAAGCAGGGGACCGCAUGGCCUUGCGCGGACGGAGCGGCCGAUGGCAGAUUAGGUAGUUGGUGGGAUAAAAGCUUACCAAGCCGACGAUCUGUAGCUGGUCUGAGAGGAUGAUCAGCCACACUGGGACUGAGACACGGCCCAGACUCCUACGGGAGGCAGCAGUGGGGAAUUUUGGACAAUGGGCGCAAGCCUGAUCCAGCCAUGCCGCGUGCAGGAUGAAGGCCUUCGGGUUGUAAACUGCUUUUGUACGGAACGAAAAGCCUUCUUUUAAUACAGGAGGGUCAUGACGGUACCGUAAGAAUAAGCACCGGCUAACUACGUG